AACAUCGCGCACCUGCGGGAACCUGCGGAAGGAUCAUUAUCGAGUUAGGGUUCCUCUCACGGGCCCGAUCUCCCAACCCUGUGUCUACCACACCUUGUCGUUGCUUCGGCGGACCGGUCCUUCGACCGCCGGGGGUGCUUUGGCCCCCUGGAGCGCGUCCGCCGAUGGCCCAACCACACAAACUCUUGGUACCAAACCCUGUCGUCUGAAGCACUUGAUAUAUAAUCAACACAAAACUUU
This 240-nucleotide unclassified non-coding RNA is filed under the name soil metagenome. Its description in RNAcentral is "partial contains 5.8S ribosomal RNA, internal transcribed spacer 2, and large subunit ribosomal RNA". The record is from RNAcentral.